UACGGAGGGUGCGAGCGUUAAGCGGAAUUACUGGGCGUAAAGCGCGCGUAGGCGGUUUGUUAAGUCAGCUGUGAAAGCCCCGGGCUCAACCUGGGAACUGCAGUUGAUACUGGCCGACUGGAGUGCGAGAGAGGGAGGUAGAAUUCCAUGUGUAGCGGUGAAAUGCGUAGAUAUAUGGAGGAAUACCGGUGGCGAAGGCGGCCUCCUGGCUCGACACUGACGCUGAGGUGCGAAAGCGUGGGGAGCAAACAGG
Molecule: ribosomal RNA, 253 nt
Filed under: uncultured bacterium
Lineage: Bacteria
Description: partial 16S ribosomal RNA
Rfam family: Bacterial small subunit ribosomal RNA
Source: RNAcentral